CACGUAGGGUGCGAGCGUUGUCCGGAAUUAUUGGGCGUAAAGAGCUCGUAGGCGGUGUGUCGCGUCGGCCGUGAAAUCUCCACGCUUAACGUGGAGCGUGCGGUCGAUACGGGCAGACUUGAGUUCGGUAGGGGAGACUGGAAUUCCUGGUGUAGCGGUGAAAUGCGCAGAUAUCAGGAGGAACACCGGUGGCGAAGGCGGGUCUCUGGGCCGAUACUGACGCUGAGGAGCGAAAGCGUGGGGAGCGAACAGG
Molecule: ribosomal RNA, 253 nt
Filed under: uncultured bacterium
Lineage: Bacteria
Description: partial 16S ribosomal RNA
Rfam family: Bacterial small subunit ribosomal RNA
Source: RNAcentral